Molecule: non-coding RNA, 1980 nt
Organism: Heterocephalus glaber (naked mole-rat)
Lineage: Eukaryota; Metazoa; Chordata; Mammalia; Rodentia; Bathyergidae
Source: RefSeq, a predicted model, not a curated record
CGGGGCGGGGACUAACUCGACAGUCUGGAGUCCGACACCGCCCCAGUCCUGACGCCUGGGUCUUCCUCCUAAGCAGGCUCCUCCUGCAGCGCAGGAAAGGAGGCCAGGUGGAGGAAGGGGUGCUUUGAAAAGUCACAGAUAAUGCGCAGCCCACCGUGUGAGAGAGCGCGGCCGGGCGCCCGACUCUUCCCGGGCUCCCCACCCCCGGGCCCAGGGAUCCCCCUCCUCCCUUCGCGGUCCUCGUGUCCCCGGGCGCCUGGGGAGAUCGCCACGUCUUUCCUGCCUGCCCAGCCUUCUGCCAGUUAAGCGCUCCUUCGUUCCACUUUGCCAGUAAUAAUUAUAUCAACGACCCAACAUUGUGCCGUGUGCCGUGUGCCUGGCACUGUGCUGCAAUUUGACAGACGGUGCCUCAUCAGCCUCCGGACAGCCCCCUGAGCAUGUCCAGUUCCCAUGAGGUAAUCCACGCAGAGAAGGGAGGGCAACCUUCCAGACAACCCUCAGAAAGGACCUCUUCCUCACUCCACACUCAAAGGCUUCCAAACCUACUACCCAGAUGUUGUGUCCAAUUUUACCAGCCCUGCAGGAAGAAGCUAUGGAAUGGACCAGUGACCAGUUGAUCAACUAGCUCCAGCAUAUUAACAAGGCUUCUGGCAAUAAAUGAACUAGUUAUUUCCUUUUCCACCACUAAAUGAAGUGUUCAAGAGCAAAAAAGAAAUGUUUCCAAAUGACAGCUUGCUUGUGUUUCCCCUCCAUGUCUUGAAAUCUUUGCUGACCUCUGAGAGGCACUUUGUUUAGUAAUCUAUUUGGGGCAGGGUAGAUAAUACAAAAAUAAUUAUAGUAAAUUUUCUAGGGACCAUUUCCAAAGCCAAAGCCUGACAUCUUACUUCUAAAAGGUGUGGCUAAAGGGUAGUAGAUUAAAAACAAAAACAGCAAUAGCUCAGGCUUUAGGCUAGAAGAUUCUGGAUCCAUCUGUAUUAGCCCUGUGGCCCUGGACCAGUUGUUAUCCGCUCCUUUUAUUUAUUUAUUUGGUAUUGGGGAUUGAACUCAGGACCUUGUGCUUGUGAGGCAGGCAGCAGAAUCACUGAGCUACAUCCCCAGUCCUAUCUGCUCCUUUUAAAUGAAGCAACAGUACUCAGUAGGACCAGCAGUUGCUGAGGAUUAGAGGUAAUCUAAGCAGCCCCUGGCCCUGGGCUGAGUGUACUUUAGUAAAUGGUAACUAUUAUUGUGACAUUCAGUCUUUCAAUUAACCUGGUAUGUGGCCCACAUUGCUAGUUAGACACAGUAAGCUGACCCUUACCAGCUUUAAGGAUGGGCAAAUAGAGGUGUAGGAAAGCAAAUAGCCUUUUGCCCAGUACUGCUUCAAUAAAUCACUGCUUGGUUCCUAUAGAAGUAAGAGUCUAGCCUUCAGAAACACCCCCUGAAAUUCUACUCUAAUUGUCUUUGUAUUAUCUACCCCGCAACAUGAUUUAUUAAUCCAGUGCAAGCACAAGAUUGCACAGUAUGCUCUUAAGCUUUUUGUUGUUAUCUGCUUAUGGUGGUACUGUGGAUUGAACUCAGGGCCUUCACACUGAGCUACAUCCUCAGACCUUCUUUUCUAAUUUUUAGUUUGAGACAGGGUCUUUCUAAGUCACUAAGUUGCCCAGGCUGGGCUCAAACUUUCGAUUCUCUUUUCCUCAGCCUCUCAGAGUGCUGGAAUGACAGGCAUGCUGCACCAUACCCAGCUGGCUUUUAAGCAUUUCUAAAGCUUCAUUAAUCUAUAAACAAAUUAACACGUUAUAGGGCAUGCAAGAGGACUGGCUGGUUCCUUGAAUCCGAACUUCAUAACUUCAUUUACAGGGUACGAGGUCCCCUUUAGGAAAGCAGUUUCAGGGACCAUAGCAAAGCCUUACAUGUGUUUGCAUCCUUCUGUAUUAGAAGGUAAAGGACAAUGAUGCUCCUAGUGACAAGUAAAAUAAUAAAAAGAAUCAAUAUAAAUGUUAA